RNAcentral lists this ribosomal RNA (375 nucleotides) under uncultured bacterium. RNAcentral describes it as "bacterial SSU rRNA". It matches the Rfam family "Bacterial small subunit ribosomal RNA", at positions 524 to 898 of the family's 1533-position model. The record is from RNAcentral.
UACGGAGGGUGCAAGCGUUAAUCGGAAUUACUGGGCGUAAAGCGCACGCAGGCGGUCUGUCAAGUCGGAUGUGAAAUCCCCGGGCUCAACCUGGGAACUGCAUUCGAAACUGGCAGGCUAGAGUCUUGUAGAGGGGGGUAGAAUUCCAGGUGUAGCGGUGAAAUGCGUAGAGAUCUGGAGGAAUCCCGGUGGCGAAGGCGGCCCCCUGGACAAAGACUGACGCGCAGGUGCGAAAGCGUGGGGAGCAAACAGGAUUAGAUACCCUGGUAGUCCACGCCGUAAACGAUGUCGAUUGGGAGGUUGUGCCCUUGAGGCGUGGCUUCCGGAGCUAACGCGUUAAAUCGACCGCCUGGGGAGUACGGCCGCAAGGUUAAA